RNAcentral lists this small nuclear RNA (337 nucleotides) under Jaculus jaculus (lesser Egyptian jerboa). Its description in RNAcentral is "7SK RNA (ENSJJAG00000009146.1)". It matches the Rfam family "7SK RNA". From Rfam's summary of the family: 7SK was discovered as an abundant small nuclear RNA in the mid-70s but a possible function has only recently been suggested. Two independent studies have found that 7SK RNA binds the CDK9/cyclin T complex (known as elongation factor P-TEFb). P-TEFb activates transcription by phosphorylating the C-terminal domain of RNA polymerase II. Lineage: Eukaryota; Metazoa; Chordata; Mammalia; Rodentia; Dipodidae. The record is from RNAcentral.
GGAGGUGAGGGUGAUCUGCCUGUGACAUCGGUCGCUGCAUUCAUCUCCAGGGUUGAUUCAGCUGAUCUGGCGGGGUAGGCAGGUGUCUGCUUCCUCCCUCACCACUCCAUGUGCACCGCUUCGGAACCGGUGUGCUUGGUCAGAGGCCGACCUUCCUUGAACAGAGGGGGCUGGGCUUUGGUCAGGGUGUAUGAGUCGCUGCACUCCCGGGCUAGAACAACCUCCAAACAAACUCAAGAGACGGCACUGCCUCGGGGACCUACUGGGCGGAACUUUUAAAAACAGAAGCACACAAAGAAAUUGAUUCAGAGAAGAGUAUCCUGGCAGCCCUUCUUCU